Molecule: small RNA, 473 nt
Filed under: Pongo abelii (Sumatran orangutan)
Lineage: Eukaryota; Metazoa; Chordata; Mammalia; Primates; Hominidae
Description: processed transcript
Source: RNAcentral
CGAGUGGGGGUUCAGAGCCUGCUCGCCCCAGCGUCCUCCAGGCGGUUGGCAGCGCCGCCAGAAGGAAGCAAACUUUCCCGAUGAUGAAGACUUCUUGAAGGAUUUCAUGGGUGACUUGGGAUCCCAGGACCAUUUGGCCAGUGUGCCUAGGUGACCACAUAAUUGCUGUUUUACCAGGAAUACAGCAUCCCAUUGACAAAGCUUAAGUGCUCUGAGAAGGUUUAAAAUACUACAGAGAAUAUGGGAACACAGACCUUGAAAUUUAGCUGAGUUGUAACAGCUGAAGCUCUAAGAGGUGUUUUCCCUGUUUGAGGUGAAACUAGUGUUGCUUCCAGAGGGCAGCUGGGAACCGUAAAGCUGUUUGGAAAUCUUUUUGACUGACUUGCUGACAGAGAGGUACUGUGAUGCAUUUUAACAAUAUCUAAGUUGAUUUUUUUUUAAAUCAAGGAAAAUAAAAACCAAGCAUGAAUGCU